This is a long non-coding RNA of Astyanax mexicanus (Mexican tetra), 634 nucleotides long. RefSeq lists it as uncharacterized. The transcript has 2 exons. The record is from RefSeq and is a predicted model, not a curated record. NCBI's taxonomy places the organism in Eukaryota, Metazoa, Chordata, Actinopteri, Characiformes, Acestrorhamphidae.
CAUGUUUAAUUACUACAGUACACAACACACUCCUCCAGCGCUACUCUAAACUCACAGCCCUCUGAUCCAGGAAACAACAGCUGUCACACUGAGAGAGAGAGAGAGAGAGAGAGAGAGAGAGAAAGAGAGAAGAAAGAAGUAAAGCAUGCAGAUACACAAAGAUAUACUAAUAUACAGGGGUUGGACAAUGAAACUGAAACACCUGGUUUUAGACCACAAUAAUUUAUUGUGGUGACGGACAGUUCUGGUGGAAACAGGAGAGUUGAGGUGCACGUUGAAUUCUGUCGUGAUUUGAUCAGCCGUGGUUUUAUGUUUUUUGGAUACAAUCCGGGUUAGCACCCGAACAUCCCUUUCAGACAGCUUCCUCUUACAGCGUCCACAGUUAAUCCUGUUGGAUGUGGUUGGUUCUUCUUGGUGGUAUGCUGACAUUACCCUGGAUACCGUGGUUCUUGAUACUUGAUCACAAAGACUUGCUGUCUUGGUCACAGAUGCUCCAGCAAGACGUGCACCAACAAUUUGUCCUCUUUUGAACUCUGGUAUGUCACCCAUAAUGUUGUGUGCAUUGCAAUAUUUUGAGUAAAACUGUGCUCUUACCCUGCUAAUUGAACCUUCACACUCUGCUCUUACUGGUGCA